RNAcentral lists this transfer RNA (67 nucleotides) under Pagurus sp. D20M. RNAcentral's name for it is "tRNA-Cys". It matches the Rfam family "tRNA". From Rfam's summary of the family: Transfer RNA (tRNA) molecules are approximately 80 nucleotides in length. The record is from RNAcentral. Lineage: Eukaryota; Metazoa; Arthropoda; Malacostraca; Decapoda; Paguridae.
GGCUUUAUAGUGGAAAUUAAGACGUUAGAUUGCAAAUCUAAAGAUGUGAAUAUAAUCGCUAAAGCUU